UCGCCUCACAGGGCUUUUUCAAUUGUCAAUAAGAAAAAUUAUUGCCAAUUGAAAAAGCCCUGUGAGGCGA
Molecule: non-coding RNA, 70 nt
Organism: Pelobates cultripes (western spadefoot toad)
Lineage: Eukaryota; Metazoa; Chordata; Amphibia; Anura; Pelobatidae
Source: the annotation of a GenBank genome assembly